CCAAGCAGGUGGUGUUGUAUGAUGAACCUACCGCUGGGCUUGAUCCAAUUGCAUCUACUGUUGUCGAAGAUCUCAUCCGCUCUGUCCACAUGAAAGGUCAUGAUGCAGAGGCUAAACCAGGGAAUAUUGCAUCUUAUGUAGUUGUCACUCACCAACACAGUACCAUAAGAAGAGCUGUUGAUAGGUUAUUGUUUCUCCAUGAGGGGAAAAUCGUCUGGCAAGGGAUGACUCAUGAAUUUACUGAAUCAACAGAUCCAAUUGUUAGACAGUUUGCAUCCGGAAGCUUAGAUGGGCCGAUUAAGUACUUAUGACUAAUAUACAGCCUGUGCAUGCAAUUUGUAUCAUUCACUGUUCAUGAGCUGUUGGGUGCCAAUUUACUUCAUGAAUUCAGUCUUUAGGACGGAGGUCAGAUGGAUGCUUCUUUUCCCUCCCCUAAUGCCACGUUUGCUGCCUCUCGUAAGGGAAUAGUGUACAAAUUUUCGAUGCAUGCUCCUAGCAAAAAUAUAUAGUUCAUGUCCCCGACUUUGAGGAGAAUCAUAUUCUUUGAGCCAGUGGCAGACCGAAGUUGAUGGAUUUGAGUUGCAUGGUUAGAUGCUUAUGAGGUGAGCACAGUUUUGAUUCUUCUUUUAGGUAUUUGUUCUGUAAUCUUUUUUCAUUGGGGGAGGAGGUCCCGUGGGAGCCCAGUGGAGGAAAUUGAAAAAGAUUUGGGGGAAGCUGCUAUGAUUUGUAUUACAUAAAUGUACAUUUUACAGAGCUGUAACUCAAAUCUUCAUACUGAAUAUCAUUCUCUCA
Long non-coding RNA from Macadamia integrifolia, 792 nucleotides. RefSeq lists it as uncharacterized. The transcript is spliced from 3 exons. Lineage: Eukaryota; Viridiplantae; Streptophyta; Magnoliopsida; Proteales; Proteaceae. The record is from RefSeq and is a predicted model, not a curated record.